Non-coding RNA from Ixodes scapularis (black-legged tick), 73 nucleotides. The record is from Rfam. NCBI's taxonomy places the organism in Eukaryota, Metazoa, Arthropoda, Arachnida, Ixodida, Ixodidae.
CCCUGCUUAGCUCAAUUGGUAGAGCGCUCCACCUGUAAUGGAGAGUUUCCGGGUUUAAUACCCGGACCAGGCG